RNAcentral lists this ribosomal RNA (328 nucleotides) under uncultured eukaryote. RNAcentral's name for it is "partial 18S ribosomal RNA". It matches the Rfam family "Eukaryotic small subunit ribosomal RNA", at positions 1470 to 1796 of the family's 1831-position model. The record is from RNAcentral.
CCCUUAGAUGUUCUGGGCUGCACGCGCGCUACACUGAUGCGCUCAACGAGUUUUAACCUUGCCUGGAAAGGUUGGGUAAUCUUUUUAAAACGCGUCGUGAUGGGGAUAGAUUAUUGCAAUUAUUAAUCUUCAACGAGGAAUGCCUAGUAAGCGCAAGUCAUCAGCUUGCGUUGAUUACGUCCCUGCCCUUUGUACACACCGCCCGUCGCUCCUACCGAUUGAAUGGUCCGGUGAAGCGUUUGGACUAUGGUUUUCUGAUGGUCCGCCGUUGGAUUACCGUGGGAAGUUCGUUAAACCUUAUCAUUUAGAGGAAGGAGAAGUCGUAACA